AGGUUUCAUGCACAUUAAAUACGGUGACACAUCAGCAUAUGUGAUGACAUGGCAUGAUAGUUAUGAAGUGAGAGAGGGAAGGAGUUUCAUCAGGAUGAAACUGUGUAUACACUGUUUCCAAGACUAUGAAACCUAUUGAAACUUGCAUUGGGGGCUAUAGAGUUUCAUUUCAUCUAACCAUAUCCAAUCACAUGCCUCAAUGGGCAUCCUAUGAAAUCGUGAAAUGAAACUGUGCACUGGGACUACCUGUUUCAUUCAUAAGAAUACACCUUAUGGGAUGAUGUGGCAUCCUUGAAAAUAAUGCAAUAAAACCUUGCACUGGGACUAGUCUAAAAUCCAAUGAAACUUGCACUAAGCAUGCUAUGGUUUCAUGGUAUGACAUAUUUAAUCAUAGUACAACGCAAAACUUUAAAUGAUUUAUGC
RNAcentral lists this long non-coding RNA (423 nucleotides) under Setaria viridis. RNAcentral describes it as "long non-coding RNA (SVIR_LNC010102)". Lineage: Eukaryota; Viridiplantae; Streptophyta; Magnoliopsida; Poales; Poaceae. The record is from RNAcentral.